RNAcentral lists this ribosomal RNA (397 nucleotides) under uncultured bacterium. Its description in RNAcentral is "partial 16S ribosomal RNA". It matches the Rfam family "Bacterial small subunit ribosomal RNA", at positions 523 to 918 of the family's 1533-position model. The record is from RNAcentral.
AUACGUAGGGGGCGAGCGUUGUCCGGAAUGAUUGGGCGUAAAGGGCGCGUAGGCGGCCCGGUAAGUCUGGAGUGAAAGUCCUGUUUUUAAGAUGGGAAUUGCUUUGGAUACUGUCGGGCUUGAGUGCAGGAGAGGUAAGUGGAAUUCCCAGUGUAGCGGUGAAAUGCGUAGAGAUUGGGAGGAACACCAGUGGCGAAGGCGACUUACUGGACUGUAACUGACGCUGAGGCGCGAAAGUGUGGGGAGCAAACAGGAUUAGAUACCCUGGCAGUCCACGCGGUAAACGAUGAAUGCUAGGUGUUGCGGGUAUCGACCCCUGCAGUGCCGGAGUCAACACAAUAAGCAUUCCGCCUGGGGAGUACGGCCGCAAGGUUGAAACUCAAAUGAAUUGACGGGG